UACGAAGGGGGCUAGCGUUGCUCGGAAUCACUGGGCGUAAAGGGUGCGUAGGCGGGUCUUUAAGUCAGGGGUGAAAUCCUGGAGCUCAACUCCAGAACUGCCUUUGAUACUGAGGAUCUUGAGUUCGGGAGAGGUGAGUGGAACUGCGAGUGUAGAGGUGAAAUUCGUAGAUAUCUGGAGGAAUACCGGUGGCGAAGGCGGCAUCCUGGACCGACAUUGACGCUGAGGAGCGAAAGCUAGGGGAGCAAACGGG
Molecule: ribosomal RNA, 253 nt
Filed under: uncultured bacterium
Lineage: Bacteria
Description: partial 16S ribosomal RNA
Rfam family: Bacterial small subunit ribosomal RNA
Source: RNAcentral